RNAcentral lists this ribosomal RNA (256 nucleotides) under uncultured bacterium. Its description in RNAcentral is "partial 16S ribosomal RNA". It matches the Rfam family "Bacterial small subunit ribosomal RNA", at positions 524 to 776 of the family's 1533-position model. The record is from RNAcentral.
GACGUAGGUGGCGAACGUUAUCCGGAAUUAUUGGGCGUAAAGGGCGCGUAGGUGGCCUGGCAAGUUAUCAGUGGUAAAUCGAGGCCCAACCUUGUGGACACUGGCAAUACUGCUUGGCUUGAGUGCAGGAGAGGUUAACGGAACUCUAUGUGGAGCGGUAAAAUGCACAGAUAUAUAGAAGGACAUCAAGAACGGCGAAGGCAGUUAACUAUUCUGUUACUGACGCUGAGGCACGAAAGCGUGGGGAGCAAAACGG